RNAcentral lists this RNase P RNA (392 nucleotides) under Bifidobacterium longum. Its description in RNAcentral is "RNase P RNA component class A". It matches the Rfam family "Bacterial RNase P class A". Rfam says of the family: Ribonuclease P (RNase P) is a ubiquitous endoribonuclease, found in archaea, bacteria and eukarya as well as chloroplasts and mitochondria. Its best characterised activity is the generation of mature 5'-ends of tRNAs by cleaving the 5'-leader elements of precursor-tRNAs. The record is from RNAcentral. Lineage: Bacteria; Bacillati; Actinomycetota; Actinomycetes; Bifidobacteriales; Bifidobacteriaceae.
UGAGACCUCUUGAUGGCCGCGGCCGUGAUCUUCAUUGGGAUCGGCUGAGGAACUUCCGGGCUCCAUAGAGCACGAUGGCGGAUAACGUCCGCCCAGGGUGACCUGAGAGAUAGCGCAACAGAGAACAGACCGCCCGUCCUCGACGGGUAAGGGUGAAACGGCGGUGUAAGAGACCACCGGGCCUCUGGUAACAGUAGGUCGCAUGGCAAGCCUCAUCGGGAGCAAGGCCAAGCAGAUGGCGGUAAGGGCUGCUCGCCCGUGUCAUCGGGUAGGCUGCUAGAGCCUGGCGGCAACGUCAGGUCGAGAUGGAUGGCCAUCCGUGCCGUGCGUUCGCGCACGNNNNNNNNNNGCGCACGGCACGACAGAACCCGGGGUAUAAGAGGUCUCAUUUU